GACGAACGCUGGCGGCGUGCCUAAUACAUGCAAGUAGAACGCUGAAGGAGGAGCUUGCUUCUCUGGAUGAGUUGCGAACGGGUGAGUAACGCGUAGGUAACCUGCCUGGUAGCGGGGGAUAACUAUUGGAAACGAUAGCUAAUACCGCAUAAGAGUAGAUGUUGCAUGACAUUUGCUUAAAAGGUGCAAUUGCAUCACUACCAGAUGGACCUGCGUUGUAUUAGCUAGUUGGUGGGGUAACGGCUCACCAAGGCGACGAUACAUAGCCGACCUGAGAGGGUGAUAGGCCACACUGGGAAUUGGACACGGCCCAGACUCCUACGGGAGGCAGCAGUAGGGAAUCUUCGGCAAUGGACGGAAGUCUGACCGAGCAACGCCGCGUGAGUGAAGAAGGUUUUCGGAUCGUAAAGAUCUGUUGUAAGAGAAGAACGAGUGUGAGAGUGGAAAGUUCACACUGUGACGGUAUCUUACCAGAAAGGGACGGCUAACUACGUG
RNAcentral lists this ribosomal RNA (495 nucleotides) under uncultured bacterium. RNAcentral describes it as "partial 16S ribosomal RNA". It matches the Rfam family "Bacterial small subunit ribosomal RNA", at positions 28 to 507 of the family's 1533-position model. The record is from RNAcentral.